This 230-nucleotide ribosomal RNA is filed under the name uncultured bacterium. RNAcentral describes it as "partial 16S ribosomal RNA". It matches the Rfam family "Bacterial small subunit ribosomal RNA", at positions 563 to 791 of the family's 1533-position model. The record is from RNAcentral.
AAGGGUGCGUAGGCGGCUAAUUAAGUCAGCGGUGAAAGUUUUGGGCUCAACCCAGAAAUUGCCAUUGAUACUGGUUAGCUUGAGUAUUGGAGGGGGUACAUGGAAUUGAUGGUGUAGCGGUGAAAUGCAUAGAUACCAUCAGGAACACCGAUAGCGAAGGCAUUGUACUGGCCAAUAACUGACGCUGAUGCACGAAAGCAUGGGUAGCGAACAGGAUUAGAUACCCCGGU